This 75-nucleotide transfer RNA is filed under the name Candidatus Nanoarchaeia archaeon. RNAcentral describes it as "tRNA-Ile". It matches the Rfam family "tRNA". From Rfam's summary of the family: Transfer RNA (tRNA) molecules are approximately 80 nucleotides in length. The record is from RNAcentral. Lineage: Archaea; Nanobdellati; Nanobdellota; Candidatus Nanoarchaeia.
GGGCCUAUAGCUCAGCUUGGUUAGAGCGCUGGUCUUAUAAGCCAGAGGUCGACGGUUCAAAUCCGUCUAGGCCCA